RNAcentral lists this ribosomal RNA (2607 nucleotides) under Triticum aestivum (bread wheat). Its description in RNAcentral is "partial small subunit ribosomal RNA". Lineage: Eukaryota; Viridiplantae; Streptophyta; Magnoliopsida; Poales; Poaceae. The record is from RNAcentral.
AUGUUGCUAGAUAUUGGCUAUAAGGGCCGUUUUUGGACCUUUGAGAAAAAGGUGGCCGGGGGAAGUUUCACACGGUGUAGGCUUGACAGAGCGUUGGUGAGCGCGGAGUGGUUGGCGAGGUUCCCAACGGCUUCUCUAACACAUCUCACGGCAGCUUCUUCUGAUCACGCCCCGCUGCUGCUCGAGUUUGGAGGCCACCAGGAGACUCGGAUAAACCAUACGUUCAAGUACGAGCUGAUGUGGGAGACUCAUGAGCAGCUUAGAGAGACGAUACUAAGGGGAUGGGAUCCAGGAGCGCCGUGUGCUACGGUCGAAGAGAUGCGAGCCAAGCUCCAGAACUUGUCUCAAGGUCUUGGUAAGUGGAGCAAUGAUACUUUCGGAAGUGUGCGGAAGGAAAUUAAAAAAUUGAAGCAGAUGUUGGAGGAGCUGCGUAAUGACCCACUAAGGAUGGCGCCGUCUCAUGUAGAACUAAAAAUCAAUGAGAAGUUAAUUGAGAUGUACCACCGCGAAGAAAUUAUGUGGCGACAAAGGGCACGGUUGGAAUGGCUCACGGAGGGGGACAAGAAUACAAAAUUUUUCCAUCUGCGUGCUAGUCUCAGGAGGAAAAAGAAUAUGAUAAAGGCUCUACAGAAUUCUUUAGGGGUGGAAAUAAGUGACCCGGCAGAGUUGAAGGAAAUGGCAAAUACGUUUUACCAGAAUUUGUAUGCUUCAGAAGGAGUCCAGAAUAUGGACGGAGUCUUGGCGCAUGUUCCCAGAAAGGUAACAACAGCAAUGAAUGAGACAUUAUGUGCGCACUAUACCAGUCAAGAAGUUAAAACUGCCUUGUUCCAAAUGUUUCCCACCAAGGCACCCGGACCGGACGGCUUUCCGGCUCAUUUUUACCAAAGACAUUGGGAUAUUUGUGGGGAAGAGGUCACCAAGAUAGUUUUGAGGAUUGUUAGGGGACAGGAAAGCCCCGAAUGCAUCAAUGACACAAUUCUUGUUCUUAUUCCCAAGGUAAUGAACCCCACAAUUUUAGCUCAGUUUCGGCCCAUCAGUUUAUGCAAUGUUCUUUAUAAGAUUGCUUCAAAAGUAGUUGCAAAUAGACUGAAAGUUAUCUUGCCUGACAUUAUUUCGGAGGAGCAAUCGGCCUUUGUCCCGGGUAGACUGAUUACAGAUAACAUCAUAUCUUCUUAUGAGUGUUUGCAUUUUAUGAAACAGACAAAAUCAAAAAGUAACAGUUAUUGUGCUCUGAAGUUGGAUAUGAUGAAAGCCUAUGACAGAUUAGAGUGGUCCUACCUAAGAGCGAUAAUGGCCAAGCUUGGUUUUGCACGGCAAUGGAUUGAUAUUGUUAUGAGUAUGGUCUCCUCAGUUUCUUUCUCCGUGUUGUUCAAUGGUGAGAAGCUUGAUGCUUUCAAACCAUCAAGAGGAAUCCGACAGGGAGACCCAAUUUCUCCUUACUUGUUCUUGAUUGCAGCAGAGGGCCUUUCGUGCCUUCUGAAAUCCAGUUCUCAGUCAUCAAAUUUAGCAGGUAUUAAGGUGGCUCCCUCGGCGCCCACCAUUAAUCACCUUUUGUUUGCAGAUGACAGCCUGUUGCUUUUCAAGGCCAAUGUGGAGGGGUCAGUUGAAGUGUCAAACCUGUUGGAUACAUAUUGCAAUGCAUCAGGACAGAGAAUUAAUCAUGAAAAGUCCUCUAUUUUCUUCAGUAAGGGGUGUCCUGGGCUGGUCAGAGAAGCAGUGAAGAAUUCUUUGCAGGUCCAUAAUGAAUCUCUCAGUGAACGUUAUCUAGGGAUGCCUACUGAUGUUGGCCAAUCCAAGAAUGGGACCUUUAAAUAUCUAAGAGAUCGAGUAUGGGAGAAAAUUAAAGGAUGGAUGGAGAAGCUUUUAUCAGCGGCAGGGAAGGAAGUAUUAAUCAAAUCGGUGGCACAAGCUAUUCCGGUAUUCUCUAUGUCAUGUUUCAGACUCCCCCGAGGACUGUGUGAGAACAUCACUUCAAUCAUACGCCAGUUCUGGUGGGGCUCGAAGCAAGGAAGAAGAAAGCCAAGUUGGGUGGCAUGGGACGUGUUGACAAGACCAAAGCACCUCGGAGGUUUAGGUUUCCGGGACUUAGAGAUCUUUAAUUUGGCGCUCCUUGCUAGACAAGCAUGGCGCAUAAUGACCAAUGAUACGUCCUUGAGUGCCCGAAUGCUCAAAGCCAUAUAUUUUUUGGGAAGUAAUCUUCUAGACGCCGAGUUGGGGUCCCACCCUUCUCAGAUUUGGCGGGCGAUGUUGGAUGGGCGUGACAUUUUGGCACAGGGAAUUAUACGCAGAAUCGGAGAUGGGACAAGUACAGGCAUAUGGAUACAUAAUUGGAUACCUCGGGAUAAUUUCAAAAGGCCUAUCACAUCUCUGGUGACUAACCCACCGGCUAUGGUGAGUCAGCUCAUUGAUACCUCAACCGCUGCUUGGAACGAGAACUUGAUUAGAACAGUCUUCACACGUUUUGAUGCGGAGGAGAUCCUCAAAAUACCUUUGUGUACAAGACUAAUUUCAGAUUUCUGGGCCUGGCAUGAGGAAAGCAGUGGCAUCUUCACAGUUCGGUCGGCAUACCGAAUGAUCAUACGUACAAAGCUUAGUAGAGAGAGUUAG